This 188-nucleotide ribosomal RNA is filed under the name Bombina fortinuptialis (large-spined bell toad). RNAcentral describes it as "partial 16S ribosomal RNA". The record is from RNAcentral. Lineage: Eukaryota; Metazoa; Chordata; Amphibia; Anura; Bombinatoridae.
CAGCCAUACUUCUAGUUCAAUUACACCACAUAUCCCAAGUAAUCAUAAAUUAAAACAUUACCUAGUUUUAGUAAAGGAGAUAGAACAAAAAAUAGGAACAAUAGACUAAGUACCGCAAGGGAACGAUGAAAUAGAAAUGAAAGAACUCAUUAAAGCACAAAAAAGCAAAGACUCGUCCUUGUACCUUU